GAUUGCUUAACAUUUUUCCAGGCCAUCAAAUAUGACCUUAGGAACAAUAAUCACUGCCCGCCAUGGCCGUUCCUCCUAGUUUUGUGUUUUACGGCCAAAAGAUUAGAAUUUCACCCGAUUCCCAUAUAUUCGUGUGCUAUAUAGAGCCCACGCCUUCUGAGUGGGUCUGGUCCCCCAGAUCCCGAUCACCUAAAAUUAUUCCGGGCCAUCAAAUAUGACCUAAGGAACCAUAGUCACCGCCCCGCCAUGGCCGUUCCUCGUUGUUUUGCGUUUUACGGCCAAAAAACUAGAAUUCCGCCUGAUUCCCAUAUAUUCGUGUUCUAUAACCCACGCCUUCCUAGUGGGUCCAGGCCCCCCGGACCCCAAUCGCCUAAAAAAUUUUCGGGCUAUCAAAUACGACCU
Molecule: long non-coding RNA, 402 nt
Filed under: Nicotiana tabacum (common tobacco)
Lineage: Eukaryota; Viridiplantae; Streptophyta; Magnoliopsida; Solanales; Solanaceae
Description: long non-coding RNA (NTAB_LNC012061)
Source: RNAcentral